This is a long non-coding RNA of Carassius gibelio (silver crucian carp), 1395 nucleotides long. RefSeq lists it as uncharacterized. NCBI's taxonomy places the organism in Eukaryota, Metazoa, Chordata, Actinopteri, Cypriniformes, Cyprinidae. The record is from RefSeq and is a predicted model, not a curated record. The transcript is spliced from 3 exons.
UGCAUGUAAUGAUAUGAGUCCCUGUGACUGGUUUGAGCGGUCUGCGGGCUGGCAGAUUGAUUGGUGGAUUGAUGUAAAGCCUGUACAUCUGUGCUGACUAAUGUGGGCCAAUCAGACUGAUGUAAACCAAUUUGAUUUGAUUGAAAAGCCAAUUGAUUGAAGCUUGGACAUGUAAGCCAUCAACUAGCGACCAGCAGGGGAAAGAAAACGGAUGUGAAAGAGAGGGAUUUGAUUGAUUAGCUGAUAGAUUGAUUAAGUGAUGUAGAUGCUAAGUUUAAAGAGCCAUCGCUGGCCCCUUCAUAUGUGUUUAACCCCGCUCCCACACUAACCUUCAGUCUUUAAGCCGCUCAGCAGGGUUCAUUACAUCUAAGUGUGAAUAAUUCAUGCUCUGGACGCUGUAGCAUGAAGAAAGAAGGUCAUACAGGUUUGGAACAACAUAAGGCGUGCAGAUACAGAUGCUCUGGCGUCUGGAGGCCGGGAUCCGUAGCAUGUGUUUUGUGUGAGAACGCUGGCCUCUUCUUAACUUGUGUUUGUGUUCGGUUGCUGGGUGCCUGGCUGACGAGAGGGGGCCCCGGCAACCGUCCGCCUACGCCUCAUCACGGACGGUUCUGUUUUUUCCUUCCCCCUGCUUGCAAAGGUUUGCGUGUGUUAACACAGAACGUAGAGAGGGAUCGAGGAGGGGUGGGCACACGAAAUGGCAAUUAAACCACGAUGACCCCCGUCGCCUCCGCAGGUUGCUCGCUGUCACUGUGUCGGCUGAAAAGAAGAGAGGGGAUGCAAACAAGCACACGGCAGUGGAUAUGAUAUGUGUUCCUCCCACAGCUAUAAAACCUGCAGAUCUUACAAACUGGAGCACUAGAUGAUCUCAAACACUGCCAUCUUACUUGUGUGUACUGACAACAGAGUGUAUCCAGGGAAGCAGGGCAUGUUGAGACACAAAGGGGCUGUAACAGCAUUGCAGACUCGUCCUUAAAUACUGCAACAAGCACUUAGUUUGACAAGCCGCUGACAGAAGAGUACACGACUUGAGCUUAACGUGGUGACAGCCUAAACUUAGGUGUGUUCACUCCAUCAGAACCAGAAGACACUUAAGGGUGCAAAAAAAACAUAGCUAUAUUAGAUGAUGCUAUUUGUGCACAAUAAAUGUUUAUUGGGAUUUAUUGUGCUGCUAUGACAUCCUGGCUGAGAGCUUUUGGUAACUAAACGAGGGAGAAUUAACUGUUGCGUUUAGAAGCUUUAAAUAGCACAGAGGGAGGGAACGCAUGGGCAAGGACUUGCACUAUGACUGCAUGUCUCACUUAGAGUGCAUGUAAAAAAUGUGCGUGUGUGUGUGUGUGUGUAUCCAACAUCAUCGAUACAGUAGAAGAAGACCUUCAAAAUUCGGCACUAAUGCCA